RNAcentral lists this ribosomal RNA (1030 nucleotides) under Limosilactobacillus sp. RNAcentral's name for it is "bacterial SSU rRNA". It matches the Rfam family "Bacterial small subunit ribosomal RNA", at positions 443 to 1471 of the family's 1533-position model. The record is from RNAcentral. Lineage: Bacteria; Bacillati; Bacillota; Bacilli; Lactobacillales; Lactobacillaceae.
ACACGUAUGAGAGUAACUGUUCAUACGUUGACGGUAUUUAACCAGAAAGUCACGGCUAACUACGUGCCAGCAGCCGCGGUAAUACGUAGGUGGCAAGCGUUAUCCGGAUUUAUUGGGCGUAAAGAGAGUGCAGGCGGUUUUCUAAGUCUGAUGUGAAAGCCUUCGGCUUAACCGGAGAAGUGCAUCGGAAACUGGAUAACUUGAGUGCAGAAGAGGGUAGUGGAACUCCAUGUGUAGCGGUGGAAUGCGUAGAUAUAUGGAAGAACACCAGUGGCGAAGGCGGCUACCUGGUCUGCAACUGACGCUGAGACUCGAAAGCAUGGGUAGCGAACAGGAUUAGAUACCCUGGUAGUCCAUGCCGUAAACGAUGAGUGCUAGGUGUUGGAGGGUUUCCGCCCUUCAGUGCCGGAGCUAACGCAUUAAGCACUCCGCCUGGGGAGUACGACCGCAAGGUUGAAACUCAAAGGAAUUGACGGGGGCCCGCACAAGCGGUGGAGCAUGUGGUUUAAUUCGAAGCUACGCGAAGAACCUUACCAGGUCUUGACAUCUUGCGCCAACCCUAGAGAUAGGGCGUUUCCUUCGGGAACGCAAUGACAGGUGGUGCAUGGUCGUCGUCAGCUCGUGUCGUGAGAUGUUGGGUUAAGUCCCGCAACGAGCGCAACCCUUGUUACUAGUUGCCAGCAUUAAGUUGGGCACUCUAGUGAGACUGCCGGUGACAAACCGGAGGAAGGUGGGGACGACGUCAGAUCAUCAUGCCCCUUAUGACCUGGGCUACACACGUGCUACAAUGGACGGUACAACGAGUCGCGAACUCGCGAGGGCAAGCAAAUCUCUUAAAACCGUUCUCAGUUCGGACUGCAGGCUGCAACUCGCCUGCACGAAGUCGGAAUCGCUAGUAAUCGCGGAUCAGCAUGCCGCGGUGAAUACGUUCCCGGGCCUUGUACACACCGCCCGUCACACCAUGAGAGUUUGUAACACCCAAAGUCGGUGGGGUAACCUUUUAGGAGCCAGCCGCCUAAGGGGACCAAAA